UACGGAAGGUCCGGGCGUUAUCCGGAUUUAUUGGGUUUAAAGGGAGCGUAGGCCGGCUUUUAAGUCAGCUGUGAAAGUCCGCGGCUCAACCGUGGAAUUGCAGUUGAAACUGGAGGCCUUGAGUGCACACAGGGGUGCCGGAAUUCAUGGUGUAGCGGUGAAAUGCUUAGAUAUCACGCAGAACUCCGAUUGCGAAGGCAGCUUACUAAGCCAUAACUGACACUGAAGCACGAAAGCGUGGGGAUCAAACAGG
RNAcentral lists this ribosomal RNA (253 nucleotides) under uncultured Prevotella sp. RNAcentral describes it as "partial 16S ribosomal RNA". It matches the Rfam family "Bacterial small subunit ribosomal RNA", at positions 524 to 776 of the family's 1533-position model. Lineage: Bacteria; Pseudomonadati; Bacteroidota; Bacteroidia; Bacteroidales; Prevotellaceae. The record is from RNAcentral.